UCGGUCCGAAGACCUGUCUUCCAGCUGGACAUCGGGGUGCUGUGGCUGCAGGACCUCCAGUCGCCCACCGACAUCAUCCCCGACGAUGUCAAGAUUGAGCGGCUGAACUACCGGCAGCUCUCGCGAGCCACCGGCAUCUCGCUGCACGUGGUGCAGCGCUGCGUGCGAGAGACCGUCCUCUUGUACUGUCACCUCCUGAGGAACAAGGCGCACGUCUCAUUCGCCUUCAAGAACAUCGGCGUUAUGACGUACGAGGACGACUUCCUCUGCAUGAGGUUCUUGUCCAGCUGCAUUACAACGCUGGAGAGCAAUGCCAGCCUGACUGCACUGCUCCACACUAGAAUUUGGCCGGCCCGUUCUGCUGACUUCGGGUCAGAGACUACCGCUCAUGGAAUCCAGGUGUUGCCGAGGUUUCAGCUCGCUGUGAAAAAGAGCAGAGCAGAGGCCGCCGCAGAAAGGAACGCUGCAGUGGCGCGGAAGAUGAGUAGAGGGGGCACUGCCGGCAGGCUGCUACAGAAGCGGAAGACACUUCCCCCCUCCAUGCUGCUGCAAUACCAGGCAGGCUCAAGGCAGCAAGAUGUGGCAAAGAAGCCUUCUGCCAGCGUGCUCCCGCCGUGUGCAGGCAGCUCCCACGGGAGAAAGCAAGCAGGACAGAAGGAACCAUCUACUCCUGCCCAGACCAGCACUGCACUCCCUGCGACAGAGGACUCUAAGAGAGUGCUGCAGGAGCUCCGGGAAGUGUCUGCCCUGUGGAAUGAAGCAGACCGCACGUGGCCCGUGUACCAGCAGCAGCGGUUUGCCAGUGCGAGCGUGUGGGCUCCGCGUCCUCCAGCCCAGCCCCGGGGACAGCAAGUGAGGAGGAGGUGGAGGAAGGAUGUGGAUCCUCCGCCGGGAAGUAAAAUGGGAACAGCGACCAAGCUGGCACUGCAUGCCGACCUCCUCUCCCCGCGAGCAGCUCAGGUGCUCCAAAGGUUGGAGCCCCACCUCCAUCAGCAAGAGGCUUUUGCUGACACCGCGGAAAGAAACCGGCAGAAGCUGGAGCUGAAGCGGCAGCUCCCCUGUGCUCGAUGCUCGUACCGCUCCAGAGGGGAAGGUGCUGGCAACAGUGCUGGAGCUGUCGGCAAGGGGGCUGGGAAGCUGUCCGGAUUUCCACCUGUGAAUGGCAAAUCGUAGAAUCAAAGACUUGUAGAAUGGCCUGGGUUGAAAAGGACCUUGAAGAUCAUCUAGUUUCCACCCCCCUGCAAUGUGCAGGGUUACCAGCCACCAGUCCGGGCUGCCCAGAGCCACAUCCAGCCUGGCCUUGAAUGCCUCUGGGGAUGGGGCAUCCACCACCUCUCGGCAGGCUGUUCCGGUGCGUCACCAGCCUCCGUGGAGUGAAGAACUCCCCCUAAUAUCUAACCAAAUUCUUCCCCCCUUUCUCAGUUGCAAACCAUUCCCCCUUGUCGUAUCACUGUCCACCCUCGUAUAAACAGCCGUUUCCCCUCCAGUUUAUUUCUUCCCUUCAAGCAUUGGAAGGCCGCAGUGAGGUCUCCCUGGAGCCUUCUCCUCUCCAAACUAAACAAGCCCAGUUCCAUCAACCUUUCUUCACAGGAGAGGUGCUCCAGCCCUCUGAUCAUCUUUGUGGCCCUCCUCUGGACUUGAUCCAACAGGUCUGCGUCUUUCCUGUACUGGGGGCCCCAGGCCUGGACGCAGAGUAUCCCAGAUAAAAAUAAAGAGAAUUGGCGUUCUUUC
RNAcentral lists this long non-coding RNA (1731 nucleotides) under Gallus gallus (chicken). RNAcentral's name for it is "lncRNA (ENSGALG00010005987.1)". The record is from RNAcentral. Lineage: Eukaryota; Metazoa; Chordata; Aves; Galliformes; Phasianidae.